RNAcentral lists this ribosomal RNA (254 nucleotides) under uncultured bacterium. RNAcentral describes it as "partial 16S ribosomal RNA". It matches the Rfam family "Bacterial small subunit ribosomal RNA", at positions 524 to 776 of the family's 1533-position model. The record is from RNAcentral.
UACGAAGGGGGCGAGCGUUGUUCGGAUUUACUGGGCGUAAAGAGCUCGUAGGCGGUGUGUCGCGUCGGCCGUGAAAACCUGCAGCUUAACUGUGGGCUUGCGGUCGAUACGGGCAUCACUGGAGUUCGGCAGGGGAGACUGGAAUUCCUGGUGUAGCGGUGAAAUGCGCAGAUAUCAGGAGGAACACCGGUGGCGAAGGCGGGUCUCUGGGCCGAUACUGACGCUGAGGAGCGAAAGCGUGGGGAGCGAACAGG